This 525-nucleotide long non-coding RNA is filed under the name Amborella trichopoda. Its description in RNAcentral is "long non-coding RNA (ATRI_LNC004153)". Lineage: Eukaryota; Viridiplantae; Streptophyta; Magnoliopsida; Amborellales; Amborellaceae. The record is from RNAcentral.
AUCGUUCCAAUAACCAAUAGCGCAUAUGUAAUUGAAACGGCAGUUCGGAUAUCUAACCAUGGUUAAAUUAAUUGACUUAAUUAUAUUAGUCUAAUAAAGUUUUUAUGGAUGGAUUAGUUAUUGAUGGCUUUAACAUAAUAUUUAUUUUUUAAAAUUUCAAAUUUUCUAACAUUUUAACUUAUUUGAUUUUCUUACUCCAAUUUUUUUAGCCUAGUCUAAUAUAUUGGCAAUACCUUUACAUGAAGUAUUUUUGCCCAUCUGUACUUUUAUCCGAUUUUUUCAUCCGACUUUUUAAAAUAAAAACGAUUUUUUCCCGAUUUUAAGGUACACCGAUUUAGGAAAAAUAUCUCCAUACCCAGUAUUUUUAGGUUUCAUUUCUUGAUAAAUCCAAGGUUUCAAAAUAUAUCUUCAAACACCCUAGCAAGUUUAAACCUAUUUUUUAACCUAAACAAAUGUGAAAAAGACAUGCUCUUUCUAAACUCAAUCAUUUUUCUCUCUUCACUUAUAUACCCCCAAACUUAUCUC